Argentina anserina (silverweed cinquefoil) is the source of this 897-nucleotide long non-coding RNA. RefSeq lists it as uncharacterized. Lineage: Eukaryota; Viridiplantae; Streptophyta; Magnoliopsida; Rosales; Rosaceae. The transcript has 4 exons. The record is from RefSeq and is a predicted model, not a curated record.
CACUGGAUUUCACUUAACCUUAUCUCUACCACCACCAAACCACACUGCCUUCCACAGACCCCCAACUUAAAACCUAGAUCUCUCUCUCUCUCUCUCUCUCAACCCAUUAAUCCUUUUAGUUUCGAUCUCGUUUACUCUUUCACUCUCACCCUCUCAAUUUCUGCAAUUUUAGGUGGAAUGAUUCGUGAAAUCCCCAAUUCGGCAGCGUUGCAAAGUGACUGUUCUGCUCCGUCGUGUGGGACCAGCAAGGGUUCCUCGCCCAUCGCCUCCUCCUCCGUCCACGAUAACGUCAUGAUGCUCACUUUGAGUCCCAACCUCCCUCACCUCCGGCUCUUCACCGCGACCCAAAAGUGGCGAUUGCUUCUGUGUUUCUUAUGAGGUUCAGCAUAUGGUUUGUGGUAGAUCAAUAUAUGCAGAAGGUACAGUUGAUGCUGUAAUUUUCCUUGCUAUGAAGGGAAGUGUCAUCAAUAUAGCUUGUUUGUUGGUCUGGUUUGCAAUGUGGGAGAAGCCAACCAUAGUGCUAUUGCCCUAGGUUGUAUUGCAUCAGAUAUGACUACUGAGCUAGGGGUUGACACCAUCCCCAAUAGGGAGAUAUGCUCAACGUGAAGAGAUUGCCGGACUUGUGGAAUUCUUGUAGGAAAAUUCUGAUUGAAGGAAAGAGUUGGACAAGAUGAAGCAGAAGUCUGUUAAUCGAGGCAUUCUUUUAGAAGAGAUUAUGAAGGUAGCAGCUAGAUUCAGAGUGAUGCCCUCUUACACUCUUAGUUUGUAUUAGGAUCUUCAUGUCCCUGGAUUAGUUUGUAUUGGCUACGAUCUUCAUUAAGCAAUUCAUUUUUGCAAUGAGAACUCUUGUCAAGUACUCGAUGAUAAUUAUCUAUAUAUGUCUGAUCAUUUUUUAUU